CAUCGCCCCCUACUGCUCCCUGCGUUCCUCGCCCUUCUGUUCUGUCUGCAGGCUAGAUCUUGCAUGGUUAACUGCAGAUCAGGCUGCCAAUGGCUGGGUAUAUAGGCUAGCUUAUGCCGUAUACAAGCAGUGCCUAGCUAGCUACAUGCAUGGAUGCGUGCUAUUUGGAAGGAAGAUCCAGAGCGCGCUAGUUCUAGGACGCUUCUGAUUAACCCUAGGGCGCAGGAACAACGGCAAAGAGGCUGAUGAGGCCGGGGAGCGGAGGCACACAGCCUGCUGCUUGCAUGAGGUUGAAAUUAGAUCCAGCGGCAUGCAUGGUGUGCAUAAAUUGCAUGGUUGAUCAUGUACAAGCAAUGGAUCUAUGGAGCGAUAUUGGUGAGGUUCAAUCCGAUGCUAGGUCUUACAAUCGUGGUAAGACCAGUAUCUGAUUGAGCCGUGCCAAUAUCUCUCCCUUGCAUGCUUCCUCCGCCCAACUACAUCUCCAUGGCAGGUGAGCACUAUCUACUCCAUCGAAGUCUAGCAUUUUAAUUAUUUUUCUGCAAACCAUGCACCAAGUGAAAAUAAUUAAUCGACCCCUGUUUUUGGACAUGAAUUAUAUAGUUAAAACAGUCUGAAGUCUGAAAAUGUCCUAAGGCCUUUGCUAUAUACCCCGAGAGAGGCUACGCACUCAAGUUCGGUGCACCCAUGAUUUUUUUUUUACUUAAAAGGGUAAUGUGAUUUUUUGGGUCCAAGCUAUAGCUAUUCAGUACAGUACAUAACAGUACCUUUCACACAAGUAAUAAAUCAUUUUAAGUUUCAUAUUUCCAAGGCUAAAAUUCAGCCAAGUUUUGUGACAAGUCUCACAUAUUUAGUUUUGUUCAAAUCACAACAUGUUUCAAGUUUUUGAUUUUCAGAUGCACUAAUUGCGAGUAUUCUCUAAGAUUUUCUCAUCUAUAUAUGGAAUGUGGUUGGAUAUUUAUAUUUCUUCGAAAGAAGGUGGUUGGAAACAUUACUCCCAAGUGAUUAUAGACUCCACGUACGUACCCAGCCAGAUAACAAAUAUCAUGGAGUACAUUCGUUAGUUUAAGAUCAUUUGUAUGCCUAUGCCUAGACUUUUUUUUAACACUUGUAUGCCUAGACUUCACCAGAUAAACUUGCACUACCAUGCGCUGGAUAUGUUUAUCUAGGUGGUAGAAGUAGAGCAACAUUCUUACCCCUUUUGCCUGGACUUCAAACAGUAUCAUGUUAAUUGUCUAAGGGCAUUGGUUUAUAGUCAAUCAAUGUCUAUUUGUUAAUACUCCGUAUGCUUUUGAAUGAAUCGAGGAAACUAAUCGUCAAGCAGUAAGCCGUGCUAGGAUAGGGUUUAUCCUCCUCUUCAGGAAAAAGUAAGCCAUACCCAUGCACUCAAGCUAGCACUAUAACAUUUAUUAAAUACGGAAAGUUGUAAAAAUAAAUAAAUUGUGAAGAUUAUUAUUACAAACACAUAAUUCUAUUUCUUCUACCCUUGUGCUAGGUGCAAAUUUGAAUUAAUAUUCUUAGUUUAAGUUGUAGUUAAUGAUGCAAUCUACAUGAAUUUUUUUAGUUAUGUUAAAUUGUAUUAAUGCACUGCCAAAUCUAUUAGAAUCUGAGUGCUAUAGAUAUUACUUUGUGUAAAAUGUUUGAUUUUUUAUAUUAUUUGUAAAUUUAUAUCAAAACUGGUUUGUAAAUCAGAAUUCCCAUAAUUGAAGUUGACGUCUGAUGUGAAUGCAUCUAAAUUCUUAUCUUUCGAAAAGAAGGUUGUAUACCCUCGGAUGUGAAGGCACCAUAUGUGCUUCUAUCUGUAUUAUCUGUUUCAUGAUCGAUAUAAUUGUAAUCGUUGGACGUUAAAUGUUUGAUCUGUUUGUAGCAUGCACUAUGUUAUGUCUGACCUAACACACAAUUAGACAAAUAAGAUUUGAUCAAAAUACAUCUGAGUGGGGGACUAGUGAUAACUCCGUGAUCACCAUGACCAUCUUAUAAUUGGAAUGCUAGGUGUUGCUUGUUAGCGGGAUGUGUGGCGUUGAAUCAACAAAAAGUGGAUGAUGGCAAGAUGAUGUUCGGUGACGGACGUUGGAUGAAAACUUACAGAUCAACGAGGCUUUUGUUUUAUGUACUCCACUUUGUCUAGAGAAGAUAAUAAAAUAUUUUGUACAAUAAUUCACCUCUUA
Triticum aestivum (bread wheat) is the source of this 2165-nucleotide long non-coding RNA. RefSeq lists it as uncharacterized. The record is from RefSeq and is a predicted model, not a curated record. Lineage: Eukaryota; Viridiplantae; Streptophyta; Magnoliopsida; Poales; Poaceae. The transcript has 2 exons.